AGUGAACGCUGGCGGUAGGCCUAACACAUGCAAGUCGAACAGCAGCACAGUAAGAGCUUGCUCUUACGGGUGGCGAGUGGCGGACGGGUGAGGAAUACAUCGGAAUCUACUUUUUCGUGGGGGAUAACGUAGGGAAACUUACGCUAAUACCGCAUACGACCUACGGGUGAAAGCAGGGGAUCUUCGGACCUUGCGCGAUUGAAUGAGCCGAUGUCGGAUUAGCUAGUUGGCGGGGUAAAGGCCCACCAAGGCGACGAUCCGUAGCUAGUCUGAGAGGAUGAUCAGCCACACUGGAACUGAGACACGGUCCAGACUCCUACGGGAGGCAGCAGUGGGGAAUAUUGGACAAUGGGCGCAAGCCUGAUCCAGCCAUACCGCGUGGGUGAAGAAGGCCUUCGGGUUGUAAAGCCCUUUUGUUGGGAAAGAAAAGCAGCAGGUUAAUACCCCGCUGUUCUGACGGUACCCAAAGAAUAAGCACCGGCUAACUUCGUG
This 492-nucleotide ribosomal RNA is filed under the name uncultured bacterium. RNAcentral describes it as "partial 16S ribosomal RNA". It matches the Rfam family "Bacterial small subunit ribosomal RNA", at positions 29 to 507 of the family's 1533-position model. The record is from RNAcentral.